Molecule: ribosomal RNA, 256 nt
Filed under: uncultured eukaryote
Lineage: Eukaryota
Description: partial 18S ribosomal RNA
Rfam family: Eukaryotic small subunit ribosomal RNA
Source: RNAcentral
UGGUGGAGCGAUUUGUCUGGUUUAUUCCGUUAACGAACGAGACCUUAGCCUGCUAAAUAAGCCGCGCUAACCCAUCCAUCAAACCCAUGCGCGGCUUCCGAGGUCCGCUGCAAGGUGGCGCUGCCAGCAAUGGUGGCUGUCAUCUUGCCGGUGGGAUCCGAGCUCGUGUGGGCGGUCGGGUUCGGCGUCCGUGCUUCUUAGAGGGACUGCUGAUUAUUUAAAAGCGUUUAGCCAGCGGAAGUUUGAGGCAAUAACA